ACCUGCAAUAGGGGGCGAGAGCCACCAAGGAACAUUUUUCUCUGUGAUUAUUGACACCUGUAGAAGAUCAGCAUAACAAUAUGUAAAUGAAUAUGUAAAAUGUUCCCUUUACAGCUACUUAUAGAGAAAUAUCAGCCACGGUCACUGUGGGCAGCUUCAUCCUAUGUGGAAUGUGCAGUAGAGCUCACUCAGGACACCUCAGUGAUGUUAAAGCCUGGAGAUUCUUUAAUCCUCAGCUGUAAAGUAUCCGGUUACUCAGUUACUGAUAACAGCUACGCCACAGCUUGGAUUCGACAUCCUGCAGGGAAAUCUCUGGAAUGGAUAAAUUACAUUUGGGGGGGUGGAAGCACGUAUCAUAAAGAGUCUCUAAAAAGCAAGUUCAGUAUUUCUAAAGAUGCCUCCAGCAGCACGGUGACACUGAGAGGACAGAACAUGCAGACUGAAGACACAGCUGUGUAUUACUGCGCUCGUAAUGCACACAGUGACACAACAAGCUGCAGUGCUGCA
Molecule: non-coding RNA, 507 nt
Organism: Tachysurus fulvidraco (yellow catfish)
Lineage: Eukaryota; Metazoa; Chordata; Actinopteri; Siluriformes; Bagridae
Source: the annotation of a RefSeq genome assembly